This is a small nuclear RNA of Phodopus roborovskii (desert hamster), 158 nucleotides long. RefSeq annotates it as U1 spliceosomal RNA. The record is from RefSeq and is a predicted model, not a curated record. NCBI's taxonomy places the organism in Eukaryota, Metazoa, Chordata, Mammalia, Rodentia, Cricetidae. The transcript has a single exon.
AUACCUACCUGGCAGGGAAGACACCAUGAUUACGAAGCUUGUUUUCCAAGGCUUAUCCAUUGCACUCAGAUUAUGCUGACCCCUACGAUUUACCCAAAUAUGGAAAACUCUACUGCAUAAUUUGUGAGAGUGGGGGACUGUGUUCAACCUCCCCCCUG